This is a non-coding RNA of Lolium perenne, 359 nucleotides long. NCBI's taxonomy places the organism in Eukaryota, Viridiplantae, Streptophyta, Magnoliopsida, Poales, Poaceae. The record is from RefSeq and is a predicted model, not a curated record.
AGAAGAAAAUGACCAAUUAGACGAUUCAUACGGUUUAUUUGAGCCUGUUGAUCAAGAACCACAGUUUGAAGUACACCAUGGUGAAACUGCAGACGAUGAGCUUGACGAGGAAGCAAGAAUAUUCAGUGGACAACGUGUUGAAUACGAAACGUACCAUGGAGAACGACAUACUACUGAAGGAGUGCCAAUAAAUAAUAAUAUUGCUGAUGCCAUCUACCAAAACUUACCAAAAAAACACCAUGUCCUCAAAAAGGCAAAAGACUGCGACCACUGUGGAGCAAUACGGUUUGAGUUCGAGGGGCCUGCAUUUUGCUGUAGAAAAGGAAGAGUCGGUGUGUUCAUUCCGGCUGUUCCAGAGG